This 90-nucleotide transfer RNA is filed under the name Neisseria lactamica. Its description in RNAcentral is "tRNA-Arg(tcg)". The record is from RNAcentral. Lineage: Bacteria; Pseudomonadati; Pseudomonadota; Betaproteobacteria; Neisseriales; Neisseriaceae.
GUCCGGUUGGGGCGCGGUUUCGGACGCUGUCGGGAUUUCGGUUUCGGAGAAGGUGAUUUCUAUGCCGUCGUCCGAUGCGCCGUCCGGGCC